Molecule: ribosomal RNA, 510 nt
Filed under: uncultured bacterium
Lineage: Bacteria
Description: partial 16S ribosomal RNA
Rfam family: Bacterial small subunit ribosomal RNA
Source: RNAcentral
GACGAACGCUGGCGGCGUGCCUAAUACAUGCAAGUCGAGCGAAUGACGAGAAGCUUGCUUCUCUGAUUUAGCGGCGGACGGGUGAGUAACACGUGGGCAACCUGCCCUACAGAUCGGGAUAACUCAGGGAAACCUGGGCUAAUACCGGAUAAUCCUUCGAAUCACAUGUUUUGAAGUUGAAAGGCGCUUCGGCGUCACUGUAGGAUGGGCCCGCGGUGCAUUAGCUAGUUGGUGGGGUAACGGCCUACCAAGGCAACGAUGCAUAGCCGACCUGAGGGGGUGAUCGGCCACAUUGGGACUGAGACACGGCCCAAACUCCUGCGGGAGGCAGCAGUAGGGAAUCUUCCACAAUGGACGAAAGUCUGAUGGAGCAACGCCGCGUGAGUGAUGAAGGUUUUCGGAUCGUAAAACUCUGUUGUAAGGGAAGAACAAGUACGUUAGGAAAUGAACGUACCUUGACGGUACCUUAUUAGAAAGCCACGGCUAACUACGUGCCAGCAGCCGCAGUAA